Molecule: ribosomal RNA, 253 nt
Filed under: uncultured bacterium
Lineage: Bacteria
Description: partial 16S ribosomal RNA
Rfam family: Bacterial small subunit ribosomal RNA
Source: RNAcentral
UACGUAGGGUGCAAGCGUUAAUCGGAAUUACUGGGCGUAAAGCGCGUGUAGGCGGUUAUCCAAGUCGGAUGUGAAAGCCUUGAGCUCAACUCAAGAAAUGCAUUCGGUACUGGGUGACUAGAGGACCGGAGAGGAUAGUGGAAUUCCCAGUGUAGUGGUGAAAUACGUAGAGAUUGGGAAGAACACCAGUGGCGAAGGCGGCUAUCUGGACGGUUUCUGACGCUAAGACGCGAAAGCGUGGGGAGCAAACAGG